Molecule: signal recognition particle RNA, 292 nt
Filed under: Microcebus murinus (gray mouse lemur)
Lineage: Eukaryota; Metazoa; Chordata; Mammalia; Primates; Cheirogaleidae
Description: Metazoan signal recognition particle RNA (ENSMICG00000029749.2)
Rfam family: Metazoan signal recognition particle RNA
About the family: The signal recognition particle (SRP) is a universally conserved ribonucleoprotein. It is involved in the co-translational targeting of proteins to membranes.
Source: Rfam by way of RNAcentral
UCUGGGCAUGGUGGCACACACCUGAGGUCCCAGCUACUUGGAAGGCUGACAUUGAGACUUGAGCCCAAAAGUUCUGGGCUGUAGUACACUAUGCCUAUUGGGUGUCUGCACUAAGUUCAGCAUCAAUAUAGUGACCUCGCUGGAGCAAGGGCCACCAGAUUGCUUAAGGAGGGCUGAACCAGCCCAAAUUGGACACCUAGCAGUUCAAAAUUCCUAUGCUGAUCAGUAGUGAGUCCCACCUGUGAAUAACUACUGCACUCCAGCCUGGGCAACAUAGUAAGACCUUGUCUCU